Molecule: transfer RNA, 77 nt
Filed under: Alphaproteobacteria bacterium
Lineage: Bacteria; Pseudomonadati; Pseudomonadota; Alphaproteobacteria
Description: tRNA-Asp
Rfam family: tRNA
About the family: Transfer RNA (tRNA) molecules are approximately 80 nucleotides in length.
Source: RNAcentral
GCGGGUGUAGCUCAGCUGGUUAGAGCGCCGCCCUGUCAAGGCGGAGGCCGCGGGUUCAAGUCCCGUCACUCGCGCCA